AGCCUUCUGUAUCCGUGCUGAGAUUUCGUCAGCAAUCAACCCGUUGUGGUUGAUGGUACUUUCCAAAUAAGCGAGGCG
Molecule: microRNA precursor, 78 nt
Filed under: Trichobilharzia regenti
Lineage: Eukaryota; Metazoa; Platyhelminthes; Trematoda; Strigeidida; Schistosomatidae
Description: mir-3492 microRNA precursor family
Rfam family: mir-3492 microRNA precursor family
Source: Rfam by way of RNAcentral